This 417-nucleotide ribosomal RNA is filed under the name uncultured Oscillospiraceae bacterium. RNAcentral's name for it is "bacterial SSU rRNA". It matches the Rfam family "Bacterial small subunit ribosomal RNA", at positions 355 to 769 of the family's 1533-position model. Lineage: Bacteria; Bacillati; Bacillota; Clostridia; Eubacteriales; Oscillospiraceae. The record is from RNAcentral.
GGAGGAAUAUUGGUCAAUGGACGCAAGUCUGAACCAGCCAUGCCGCGUGAAGGAAUAAGGCCCUAUGGGUCGUAAACUUCUUUUGUAUGUGAGCAAUAAGGUCCACGUGUGGUCCGAUGAGAGUAGCAUACGAAUAAGCAUCGGCUAACUACGUGCCAGCAGCCGCGGUAAUACGUAGGUGGCAAGCGUUAUCCGGAUUUACUGGGUGUAAAGGGCGCGUAGGCGGGGAUGCAAGUCAGAUGUGAAAUCUAUGGGCUCAACCCAUAAACUGCAUUUGAAACUGUAUCUCUUGAGUGUCGGAGAGGUAGAUGGAAUUCCUAGUGUAGCGGUGAAAUGCGUAGAUAUUAGGAGGAACACCAGUGGCGAAGGCGAUCUACUGGACGAUAACUGACGCUGAGGCGCGAAAGCGUGGGGAGC